UACGGAGGGUGCAAGCGUUAUCCGGAUUCACUGGGUUUAAAGGUCGCGUAGGCGGACAGGUAAGUCAGCGGUGAAAUCUCUGGGCUUAACUCAGAAACUGCCGUUGAUACUAUUUGUCUUGAAUAUCUUGGAGGUAAGCGGAAUAUGUCAUGUAGCGGUGAAAUGCUUAGAUAUGACAUAGAACACCGAUAGCGAAGGCAGCUUACUACAGGAAGAUUGACGCUGAGGCACGAAAGCGUGGGGAGCAAACAGG
Molecule: ribosomal RNA, 253 nt
Filed under: uncultured bacterium
Lineage: Bacteria
Description: partial 16S ribosomal RNA
Rfam family: Bacterial small subunit ribosomal RNA
Source: RNAcentral